GCUUUAGCUCCUUUUGAUAUGAAAAGGUGUCUUAAAAUAUCAACUUCACAAUUCUGUCCAUUAAUAAUGUAGAAGCUUGCUUCAAUUCAAAAUAUUUAAAUAAAUGUCUGAAUGCAGUUUUAAAAGAUGAAUUGAAAUUACGUUAUACUUCUUCACCAGUUUACCAGAGCACACAGAAUUAAAAAUGUUGUCUAGUUGGUACUAGAAAACUAAAACUGUUUCCAUCUAUGCAUAUUUUUAUUCUGUUUUUUUUUUUUUUAAUGUUGUUUUUGUUUUAGGGUAGGCAGUUCUGAAUAAUCCUGCCUGAUAACCUACUUACUCCCAGUGCCCAAGUACAUCCGAUGCUGCGACUUCUUGGACAAAACAAAAACUUUCUGCUGACUAAUGUCUCCACUUUGCCCCAACCUGCUGGAUGCUCUGGAAAGGAGUGAGUGAAGAGCAAAUGGCUGGCAUCAAGUUAUUUUUGAAGACAGAAGAAAUGAGAACUGUUACGAUUUCAGGGGCUUUAGGGGCAAGCCAAACUGGUUUGGGCUGCUGCAAAUGUUGCCUCAGCUUCUGCUCAGCUGUCAGAUUAAUGAUACCUACUCUAGCAAUGCCAACUACCAAACCCCAUGGCAUUUGGCAGUUAUGAACCAUACAGAUUUUGAUUAUAAAGACUCUUUAUCUUUUAAAUAAUAAUUUAAGAA
This 686-nucleotide long non-coding RNA is filed under the name Numida meleagris (helmeted guineafowl). RNAcentral describes it as "lncRNA (ENSNMEG00000022807.1)". The record is from RNAcentral. Lineage: Eukaryota; Metazoa; Chordata; Aves; Galliformes; Numididae.